RNAcentral lists this ribosomal RNA (491 nucleotides) under uncultured bacterium. Its description in RNAcentral is "partial 16S ribosomal RNA". It matches the Rfam family "Bacterial small subunit ribosomal RNA", at positions 29 to 507 of the family's 1533-position model. The record is from RNAcentral.
GUGAACGCUGGCGGUAGGCCUAACACAUGCAAGUCGAACGGCAGCACAGUAAGAGCUUGCUCUUACGGGUGGCGAGUGGCGGACGGGUGAGGAAUACAUCGGAAUCUACUUUUUCGUGGGGGAUAACGUAGGGGAACUUACGCUAAUACCGCAUACGACCUACGGGUGAAAGCAGGGGAUCUUCGGACCUUGCGCGAUUGAAUGAGCCGAUGUCGGAUUAGCUAGUUGGCGGGGUAAAGGCCCACCAAGGCGACGAUCCGUAGCUGGUCUGAGAGGAUGAUCAGCCACACUGGAACUGAGACACGGUCCAGACUCCUACGGGAGGCAGCAGUGGGGAAUAUUGGACAAUGGGCGCAAGCCUGAUCCAGCCAUACCGCGUGGGUGAAGAAGGCCUUCGGGUUGUAAAGCCCUUUUGUUGGGAAAGAAAAGCAGCAGGUUAAUACCCCGCUGUUCUGACGGUACCCAAAGAAUAAGCACCGGCUAACUUCGUG